UACGGAGGGUCCAAGCGUUAUCCGGAAUCAUUGGGUUUAAAGGGUCCGUAGGCGGUUUAAUAAGUCAGUGGUGAAAGCCCAUCGCUCAACGGUGGAACGGCCAUUGAUACUGUUAAACUUGAAUUAUUAGGAAGUAACUAGAAUAUGUAGUGUAGCGGUGAAAUGCUUAGAGAUUACAUGGAAUACCAAUUGCGAAGGCAGGUUACUACUAAUGGAUUGACGCUGAUGGACGAAAGCGUGGGUAGCGAACAGG
RNAcentral lists this ribosomal RNA (253 nucleotides) under uncultured bacterium. RNAcentral's name for it is "partial 16S ribosomal RNA". It matches the Rfam family "Bacterial small subunit ribosomal RNA", at positions 524 to 776 of the family's 1533-position model. The record is from RNAcentral.